UACGGAGGGAGCUAGCGUUGUUCGGAAUUACUGGGCGUAAAGCGCGCGUAGGCGGCUUUGUAAGUUAGAGGUGAAAGCCCGGAGCUCAACUCCGGAACUGCCUUUAAAACUGCAUCGCUUGAAUCCAGGAGAGGUGAGUGGAAUUCCGAGUGUAGAGGUGAAAUUCGUAGAUAUCGAGAGGAACACCGGUGGCGAAGGCGGCCAACUGGACAGAUACUGACGCUGAGACACGAAAGCGUGGGGAGCAAACAGG
RNAcentral lists this ribosomal RNA (253 nucleotides) under uncultured bacterium. RNAcentral's name for it is "partial 16S ribosomal RNA". It matches the Rfam family "Bacterial small subunit ribosomal RNA", at positions 524 to 776 of the family's 1533-position model. The record is from RNAcentral.